ACUGUGUCCAGAGCUACAGACAUUCCUAUUUGUCCGUGAGUUGCAUGACUAAUGCGCUUGGCCUCGUUAAGAAUGAAGUGGGCACAUGAGAACGUUUUCAAGGACAUCAGCCGGUGCUGCUUGGACAGAGGAGAGCCACUAGUGAAAACACCCCAAGGCUUCUUCCUGGUGCAGGGCAGACCCUGGUUAAAUCAUUCCAGUGAUCCAUGGUGGUAGAUGGAGUUUGGAGGUACCAGUAAAUUCCUGGUUCAGUAGUGCCGUGUGGCUGCGUCACCGUGUUCCGGAAGAUGGCUUGUAAGGAGAAGUGAGAUACGCAACUUCCAAGUUGGGCCCUGAAAAGAAAGUAGCGUGACAUCUCACUUCAUUUUCCUUCUUCCUGUGGCUGGAAUGGAAAAGUGAUGGUGGGAACUUGGGCAGCUCUUUUGGACCACAAACAGAAAGCAGGCGGGCGGGGGCACCUGGGGGCCUCAAUGGGUUAGGCCUCGACUUCAGCCUCGGGUCACGAUUUCACAGUUUGUGAGUUCGGGCCCCACGUUGGGCUCUGGUGCUGACAGCUCAGAGCCUGGAGCCUGCUUCAGAUUCUGUGUCGUCCUCUCUCUCUCUCUCUCUGCCCCUCCCCUGCUCAUGCUCUGUCUCUCUCUCUCACUCUUAAAAAUAAUAAACAAACAUUUAAAAAAAUUAAAAAGAAAGAAAGAAAGAAAGAAAGAAGAAAGAAAGAAAGAAAGAAAAGAAAGAAACUGGGAAGUCGGAUCGUGGAGUCAAAAUACGGAGGGAGGUUGGGCCCAAAGUGGCUUCCUGGAGGAAUGCCGUCAAACUAGUUUGGGGCUUAACACAAGGGAACAAUAACAUCAGCCUUUUUUGAGUUGUGUGAACUCUGAUCUUUGUUACUGCAGCCAAACAUGCACCCUAACUUCAUAGUGUUUAUGAAGUCAGGGACCAGUUAGUCCCCCGUAGCUACCUAGUAUCCCUGGCGCCGGCAGACGGCGGAGGGCUGACAGAUCCCGCACUCGCACUGGGUGGUCAGGCCCAGUUCAACACAGCAGUGGCAACGGCGUCCUGCCACAGCACAGUCCCCUUGGUCAAACUGUUCCGCCUCUGAGACCGUUGCUGUGCCUCUGCCCCUGCCCCUCUGCAAGCCUGUUCUUCCAGCCUCUUGAUAAUUUUGGUGUGCUCCUGAUAUCCUUCUGAUAGAUUCCCUCUUUUUAUUGCCACUCACAGGUGGCACAGGUUUAUGCGAUUUGCAACCGCGGAAUUCCAAAUUGAGGCGCCGAUUUCCAAUUUCACCUUCUUCCAGAGACAGGGCCCUGCUGCCUGUGUGGUAUUUGUAAGCAGAGGUCUCAUUCUGCAUUUCCCCAGCUUGAUAUCCAUUAGGGAUUGUUUGGCGAUCCUUUGGGCAGAGCUCGUUCGGUCAGGGUAACCUCCUCAGUGUGGCAUGUGAAGCCUUGCAGGAUGUGGCCCCAACACCGCUCCCCAGUUUUCUCUCUUUGUGCCUGUCUCUAGGCCCCGUACGUCAUGAUUUGGCCAUACUAAAUCACUGGGCAGGCACAAGGUCCACCUCCCAGCCCUUCCUUCUCCCACCUGCUUGUCAGUUCUCAUUCAAGAGACACGUUGGGGUUCCUCCCCUCCACAAAGCUUUCCCAACUCCCUGGGGCCCAGUCACCCCUGGUCACUUGAUUGCAAGUCUGUCCUUUGGGCUGCACACUUCACCCCUCUUACCUAUGCCUCUAUCCCUCACCUGGUCUCCCCUCUGUGCUCACUUGUCUCCAUGACUUGCCUUCCCAUCUUGUGUCAUCGAUUGUUCUGUUUCUAGCAUCUCUUAUAUGAUUGGUGCAUAACAUACAUAUUUUAAAAGAAAGUGAAUCAUCUUUCUGGAAACCAUUUGAAAAGUUCAAAAAUAAGUCGGUAGGUGGCACCCGAGUCUUUCUGUUUGUAGUUUUGGGUUUUGUUUUUUUGUUUUUUAACCCACAGAAGCCAGCAGGUGGCGCUCUCCGACACGAAAGCCUUUGUCACUCAUUAAGUCCUCCCUGCCUCCUUUUCUUCCUCCCUGGCUCCUUCUAGGAAGCCGUGGAUUCCUGAUUUGUCAUAAUACAUGAGCGUGCACAUCGGUAUUAAACACCCAAACGGUCUACACCCGCGCAGAUUAGUAUCAGUACGACUUUACUACUCACUGCUUUCGCCAACAAGUCUUUGCUAUCCCUGGAACUCUUGCCCGGGCAGAAACAACUUGCAAAAUGAGACAGUCGAACUUUCCAGUUCGUGGCAUCAAACAGCUGUUUACUCCCUUUGACACCCUCUUUGACACCCUUGCUGUCCACCAAUCCUGAAUUAUGAUUAUAUUGUAAUGUUUACCAAAUCCUAAUUAAAUCGCAUAUUGAAAGACCCACCUCAUACCAAACCCCGAGAGGUCAUAAAAAUCUUGACUUUGCCCUCUGCCUUUGAGACGCUGCUAGAACUAAAUCUAGGCAGUGAUCUCCCCUAGGGCAAGAGCACUCAACUCAAUUUGCCCUCUGAACAGUCUCUUGGCAACAUGUAUAGACCUGAGCGUACAAGUGUAUUCUAGGCCUUUGCUAACUUGAAAUGUACAAUUUCAGAGGCAGAUCCCACCCCAAGCCUAGAGCAUUGGAAUCUGUACUCCAACACUUGUCAAGGUGAUUUUCCUGCCCAGUGAAACCUGAGGAACAUUGCUCAGAUUGAUUAAUUAAUUAGUUAAUUAACUGAAGAAUUACCUCAGUCUCUUCAAAAGAAUGAAUGCAGACUGAAGGUUUAAAAUUUAAGGAACAGUUGUGUUUUUCUUCUGCUUGUAGCUGAUGUUUAGUUAGUGUCAAAACUACAAAGCAGAAGAAAGUUUUGGAUUCCAGCCUGCCUAAUUAGGGAAUUCUUCAGUGUUGUCUUAGAUCUGCCUUAAGAAGAUCAGUGGGUUUGGGGGGUGUUUGGGGAAAUAUAUUUGCUGAAUUCAGUUAAGUCUUUUUUUUUUUUUUCAACCCCCACCCCCUUCCUAGGGCAGACCUGAGACGCAAUGAAUGUAGGGUGUAUCAUGAUAUAUGGAGCCGUCGGGCUUGCACAUUCUAGAUACAGUGCUUAAUCCCCGUGCACAGUAAGAGUUUUUUCUUCAAAAACUAUUUAAAAUCUGCAUGUAUUAUUUACAUUGUACUCCCUUACAUGUGACAUUAUUACCUUUUGUUGGGAUGUGAGCCCCCUUUGCCUUAGAGAUUUCUGCUACUAUACCGAACGGAUGUAAUGGAAAGAAUAUGGUAUUUGAGAUUGUAAGACAUAGAUGAAAAUCACAGCUCUGCUAUUUCCUGGCCGUGUGAUGUGAGACUAUUCACUUAACCGCUCUGAGCCUCAGUUUUCUCGUCCUAAAAUGGGGAGGGUGUUAUCUCACAUACACAGGCUGACUUAGGGAUCAAGAGACAUGGAGUUUGUGCUAAAAGUUCUAUAAACCAACCUUGGCACUUUCCGUCAUUUGUUUUAAACACACCGCACAGCACUCACGUGUUACUGUGCAUGCAAAAAUGGGUAUUAAUGAACUAAUUAAUGCAUCACGUCAUUUCAGCCUCUCUGAAAACCACCAAUGCACUGUUUUUCUCUUUUGCAUCGUUACUUAAUGAGCUUGUUUCCACAGCCAUGAUUGGCGUUGUGCUUACACCAAGGCUUGUCCCCAGAUUCUUGGACCUCCUGUCAUGGUAGACAGAAAAAAAACAAAAGAGAGCCCUAACCAAACUGCCCGGGGUAUUAGGGUGCCUGGAGAGAGUAACUGUAUUUAGUUGGUGGGUUUCAGAGCCUGUCCUGUGGCUAGGCCUUUGUGAAAGCUUUGAAAACAUAAGCCAGCGAUAAUGUGUAAAUGAUUUUGUAAACGCUACUGCUAAUAAAUUUGGGUGUCACUCUCAGUCAUAGAGAAACAA
Molecule: long non-coding RNA, 3902 nt
Organism: Panthera uncia (snow leopard)
Lineage: Eukaryota; Metazoa; Chordata; Mammalia; Carnivora; Felidae
Exons: 3
Source: RefSeq, a predicted model, not a curated record